Molecule: long non-coding RNA, 291 nt
Organism: Epinephelus fuscoguttatus (brown-marbled grouper)
Lineage: Eukaryota; Metazoa; Chordata; Actinopteri; Perciformes; Serranidae
Exons: 4
Source: RefSeq, a predicted model, not a curated record
GACACAAAUUCGAUUCCAGCAAAUGCUGAAAGUCUGCCUUUUGAAGAAAAACUAAACACCUCGAUGUCCCCCAGCCGCGGGAUAUUGUUAUAAACCAAAAUGGGGGAUGGUAUCCGGAGAACAACAGACUUUCAGGAUGUCAAGCAUCUUUAUGAAAACAUGAAAGCAGCAGGAAAACGCAGUAAUACAAAUGGGGAAUUGAGGUGUGCAACCGGAAGUCAAGAAAAAAAGGGUGCUGUAAACUUGCAUGUCUCCGCCAUGGAGGUAGUGAUGUCUGAUGCAGAGGGAGGG